GAUAAACGCUGGCGGCGUGCUUAACACAUGCAAGUCGAACGAAGUUUUUCCUUCGGGAGAAACUUAGUGGCGGACGGGUGAGUAACGCGUGGGUAACCUGCCCUGUACAGGGGGACAACAGCUGGAAACGGCUGCUAAUACCGCAUAAGCACUUAGCACUGCAUGGUGCAUAGGAAAAAGGAGCAAUCCGGUACAGGAUGGACCCGCGUCUGAUUAGCCAGUUGGCAGGGUAACGGCCUACCAAAGCGACGAUCAGUAGCCGAUCUGAGAGGAUGUACGGCCACAUUGGGACUGAGACACGGCCCAGACUCCUACGGGAGGCAGCAGUGGGGAAUAUUGCACAAUGGAGGAAACUCUGAUGCAGCGACGCCGCGUGAGUGAAGAAGUAUUUCGGUAUGUAAAGCUCUAUCAGCAGGGAAGAAAAUGACGGUACCUGACUAAGAAGCACCGGCUAAAUACGUG
This 462-nucleotide ribosomal RNA is filed under the name uncultured bacterium. RNAcentral's name for it is "partial 16S ribosomal RNA". It matches the Rfam family "Bacterial small subunit ribosomal RNA", at positions 28 to 507 of the family's 1533-position model. The record is from RNAcentral.